Molecule: ribosomal RNA, 548 nt
Filed under: uncultured bacterium
Lineage: Bacteria
Description: bacterial SSU rRNA
Rfam family: Bacterial small subunit ribosomal RNA
Source: RNAcentral
AUGGGCUUGCGUCUGAUUAGCUAGUUGGUGGGGUAACGGCCUACCAAGGCGACGAUCAGUAGCCGGACUGAGAGGUUGAACGGCCACAUUGGGACUGAGAUACGGCCCAGACUCCUACGGGAGGCAGCAGUCGGGAAUAUUGCGCAAUGGAGGAAACUCUGACGCAGUGACGCCGCGUGCAGGAAGAAGGUUUUCGGAUUGUAAACUGCUUUAGACAGGGAAGAAACAAGACAGUACCUGUAGAAUAAGCUCCGGCUAACUACGUGCCAGCAGCCGCGGUAAUACGUAGGGAGCGAGCGUUAUCCGGAUUUAUUGGGUGUAAAGGGUGCGUAGACGGGAAAAUAAGUUAGUUGUGAAAGCCCUCGGCUUAACUGAGGAACUGCAACUAAAACUGUUUUUCUUGAGUACUGGAGAGGAAAGUGGAAUUCCUAGUGUAGCGGUGAAAUGCGUAGAUAUUAGGAGGAACACCAGUGGCGAAGGCGACUUUCUGGACAGAAACUGACGUUGAGGCACGAAAGUGUGGGGAGCAAACAGGAUUAGAUACCCUG